ACGAACGCUGGCGGCGUGCUUAACACAUGCAAGUCGAACGGAAAGGCCAGUGCUUGCACUGGUACUCGAGUGGCGAACGGGUGAGUAACACGUGGGUGAUCUGCCUUGCACUCUGGGAUAAGCUUGGGAAACUGGGUCUAAUACCGGAUAGGAACCGUCUUUAGUGUGGUGGUUGGAAAGUUUUUUCGGUGCAAGAUGAGCUCGCGGCCUAUCAGCUUGUUGGUGGGGUAAUGGCCUACCAAGGCGUCGACGGGUAGCCGGCCUGAGAGGGUGUACGGCCACAUUGGGACUGAGAUACGGCCCAGACUCCUACGGGAGGCAGCAGUGGGGAAUAUUGCACAAUGGGCGGAAGCCUGAUGCAGCGACGCCGCGUGGGGGAUGACGGCCUUCGGGUUGUAAACUCCUUUCGACAGGGACGAAGCGCAAGUGACGGUACCUGUAUAAGAAGCACCGGCUAACUACGU
RNAcentral lists this ribosomal RNA (464 nucleotides) under uncultured Actinomycetales bacterium. RNAcentral's name for it is "bacterial SSU rRNA". It matches the Rfam family "Bacterial small subunit ribosomal RNA", at positions 29 to 506 of the family's 1533-position model. Lineage: Bacteria; Bacillati; Actinomycetota; Actinomycetes; Actinomycetales. The record is from RNAcentral.